GACGAACGCUGGCGGCGUGCUUAACACAUGCAAGUCGAACGGAAAGGCCCUGCUUUUGUGGGGUGCUCGAGUGGCGAACGGGUGGGUAACACGUGAGUAACCUGCCCUUGACUUUGGGAUAACUUCAGGAAACUGGGGCUAAUACCGGAUAGGAGCUCCUGCUGCAUGGUGGGGGUUGGAAAGUUUCGGCGGUUGGGGAUGGACUCGCGGCUUAUCAGCUUGUUGGUGGGGUAGUGGCUUACCAAGGCUUUGACGGGUAGCCGGCCUGAGAGGGUGACCGGCUACAUUGGGACUGAGAUACGGCCCAGACUCCUACGGGAGGCAGCAGUGGGGAAUAUUGCACAAUGGGCGGAAGCCUGAUGCAGCAACGCCGCGUGCGGGAUGACGGCCUUCGGGUUGUAAACCGCUUUCGCCUGUGACGAAGCGUGAGUGACGGUAAUGGGUAAAGAAGCACCGGCUAACUACGUG
Molecule: ribosomal RNA, 468 nt
Filed under: uncultured bacterium
Lineage: Bacteria
Description: partial 16S ribosomal RNA
Rfam family: Bacterial small subunit ribosomal RNA
Source: RNAcentral